This is a long non-coding RNA of Brassica napus (rape), 3813 nucleotides long. RefSeq lists it as uncharacterized. NCBI's taxonomy places the organism in Eukaryota, Viridiplantae, Streptophyta, Magnoliopsida, Brassicales, Brassicaceae. The record is from RefSeq and is a predicted model, not a curated record. The transcript is spliced from 2 exons.
AUUUAAAUUGAUCUAAUCUUAUACAUUCAUAUGGGGUUCAUAUUUUCGCUAAAAUUUUCAGAAAAAUAAACAUAUUAUUAUCUCAUCAAAAUGUGUCAUCUUUUGUAUUGGUCUAACGCAGAAUUUAAGAAUUUUAUUAGUUUAUCGUGUUUAUUAAUUUAUCAAAUAAUAAUUUAAAGAGUUUCUAUUGUAUUUGUUAGUGAUUAAUCAAAAAAUAUAUAGAGAAAAAUAAUUUAAAUAUCUUAUAUGUAAAAUUUAGGAUAGAUAGUUAUUGAAUAUACUUAAAAUGUCAAAUAUAAUCUCUAGUAAACAUGACAAUAAACUAUUUUUAUAUAUAUUUCAUGUUAAUUAAAAACUCAGUCUCCUGAAAAUUUGGUUUUAUACUGAAAUUUUGAUAUCCAAAUCGAUAACUUCUGAUAUAGACUAAGCACGUGGAUGAUCAAUUUUUUUUUAAAAAAAGAGGUUUUUGUUUAUGUUAUCGGUUCGAGCCGGAUCAAACCUCAAAUAGAUAAAUAUAUAAAUAAAUUCUUAAUUAUCUUAGUACAAGUAGAGGAAACAAUGAGAAAAGAAAAAGAUAAGGAAAAUAGAGAAUGAAAUGGAGCAAAUAUUUGAAUUAGUAUUAUCAAAGAUUGACACAUUCCAUGAUAACGUAUUCUUGAUGUACAAAUGCUUUUUACUACUCUGAUUCACAUGGUGAUCAUCUCCAAACUCACAUAGCAAAAAUCUUGUUUUAAAAAAGUGGUAUAGCUUGUUUUAAAAAAGUGGUAUAGCCACACCAUCAUCGAUCUAAUCUUAUACAUUCAUAUGGGGUUCAUAUUUUCGCUAAAAUUUUCAGAAAAAUAAACAUAUUAUUAUCUCAUCAAAAUGUGUCAUCUUUUGUAUUGGUCUAACUCAGAAUUUAAGAAUUUUAUUAGUUUAUCGUGUUUAUUAAUUUAUCAAAUAAUAAUUUAAAGAGUUUCUAUUGUAUUUGUUAGUGAUUAAUCAAAAAUUAUACAGAGAAAAAUAAUUUAAAUAUCUUAUAUAUAAAAUUUAGGAUAGAUAGUUAUUGAAUAUACUUAAAAUGUCAAAUAUAAUCUCUAGUAAACAUGACAAUAAACUAUUUUUAUAUAUAUUUCAUGUUAAUUAAAAACUCAGUGUCCUGAAAAUUUGGUUUUAUACUGAAAUUUUGAUAUCCAAAUCGAUAACUUCUGAUAUAGACUAAGCACGUGGAUGAUCAAUUUUUUUUUAAAAAAAAGAGGUUUUUGUUUAUGUUAUCGGUUCGAGCCGGAUCAAACCUCAAAUAGAUAAAUAUAUAAAUAAAUUCUUAAUUAUCUUAGUACAAGUAGAGGAAACAAUGAGAAAAGAAAAAGAUAAGGAAAAUAGAGAAUGAAAUGGAGCAAAUAUUUGAAUUAGUAUUAUCAAAGAUUGACACAUUCCAUGAUAACGUAUUCUUGAUGUACAAAUGCUUUUUACUACUCUGAUUCACAUGGUGAUCAUCUCCAAACUCACAUAGCAAAAAUCUUGUUUUAAAAAAGUGGUAUAGCCACACCAUCAUCGAUCUAAUCUUAUACAUUCAUAUGGGGUUCAUAUUUUCGCUAAAAUUUUCAGAAAAAUAAACAUAUUAUUAUCUCAUCAAAAUGUGUCAUCUUUUGUAUUGGUCUAACUCAGAAUUUAAGAAUUUUAUUAGUUUAUCGUGUUUAUUAAUUUAUCAAAUAAUAAUUUAAAGAGUUUCUAUUGUAUUUGUUAGUGAUUAAUCAAAAAUUAUACAGAGAAAAAUAAUUUAAAUAUCUUAUAUAUAAAAUUUAGGAUAGAUAGUUAUUGAAUAUACUUAAAAUGUCAAAUAUAAUCUCUAGUAAACAUGACAAUAAACUAUUUUUAUAUAUAUUUCAUGUUAAUUAAAAACUCAGUUUCCUGAAAUUUUGGUUUUAUACUGAAAUUUUGAUAUCCAAAUCGAUAACUUCUGAUAUAGACUAAGCACGUGGAUGAUCAAUUUUUUUUUAAAAAAAAGAGGUUUUUGUUUAUGUUAUCGGUUCGAGCCGGAUCAAACCUCAAAUAGAUAAAUAUAUAAAUAAAUUCUUAAUUAUCUUAGUACAAGUAGAGGAAACAAUGAGAAAAGAAAAAGAUAAGGAAAAUAGAGAAUGAAAUGGAGCAAAUAUUUGAAUUAGUAUUAUCAAAGAUUGACACAUUCCAUGAUAACGUAUUCUUGAUGUACAAAUGCUUUUUACUACUCUGAUUCACAUGGUGAUCAUAUCUCCAAACUCACAUAGCAAAAAUCUUGUUUUUAAAAAAGUGGUAUAGCCACACCAUCAUCGAUCUAUGCCAGUUCUUUAAUUAAGCAAUUAAGGGGGCAUCAAUUCAUAUAUAAAUCUAUUGGGUAACACUAGUAAAAAUCUUCCGCAUAGCCACGGUAGUGCCAGUGUAAAAUCGUGGCUUAUUUGAAAAAAUCACUGUUUAGCCACGGUUAGCCACAAUUUUUUUAAAAGACACGAUUAUUCUUUUCUAGCCACGAUUCAGUCACUAAAUAAUCAUGGUUAUUUUAGUAGCCACGAUUUAGCUACGAAAUGACAGUGGCUAAUCGUUAGCCACGACUCAGCCACUUUAUUUUUGUGGCUAUUUAGUUUUUCUAUACCCUAAACCCUAAACUUCAAAAUUAAAUUAUACAUCCUAGAUACUAAAACCAAAAUACAAAUAUAACAUUUUUGAAAAACUUUAAAUAUAAAUGUUAAAUUUAAAUUCUAAAUAUAAAUUUCUUUAAAAUCCAUUAUAAAUCUUAAACCUAAACCCUUAUCUUAAACUUUACAUACAAAAACCAUAAAUCUAAUGUUUUCAAACCAUAAACCUUAUAUCAUACAUUAAAUCACAAAUAUUUUAAUCUAAUUAAACCCAAAAUUUAUAUAUUUCAAACUCUAAAAACAUUUAUACUUUCAAUUAUUUAAUCUUAACAUUUACAUUUAAUCUUUAACAAGUGUACUCAAAUCCUAUUUCUCAAACUAUAAACUCUAUAUUGUAAACAUAUAUCAUUAAACCAUGAAGCAUUAUAUCUUAAAUUCAAAAUAUUGAAAUUUAAAUUGAAAAUCUUAUCAAUUUUCUUUAGGUUAUGCACUAUAAUCAUAAGCUAACAACUAAAUAAUAAAAAGAAAAGAAAUACUGAAAUCUAAUGCUAAUUCCUAAACUAACUUCUCAUUGGUCAAAAGAAGAAAGGAACGGAUUACCCCCUGUUAGAUCACAACCAUUCAUAAAGAUCCAUCGAACGGCCACAACUACACACGCUUUAUAUUUUUAUUUUUAAUUUAUUUUCUUCUUCCUUCUCUUCUCUCGUCUCUGAUUUUUUUCUAGAUCUAAGUUUCGUUUUCACACAGAUCUCUCUACCGCUCACACAUCUCUCCAUCUCUGCUCACAGAAGAAACAUCAAUGCCUCUACUCACAUAUCUAUGUUUGUAUCUUAUCAGUUGUGUAUGUAUUUGAUUUUGUUUUGAUAGAUGACAGAUACGGAGGUGGACUGCGACGGUAACGAAGAUGGAGAGACAUAGAUGGCUGAGGAAGAAGCGGAGAUUUUUAAACUAGGAAGAAGAAGAAGAAGGAGAGAAGACAAAGGAAGAAGAAGAAAAGCCAAGAUGAAGCUUCGCUGGCUCCUUCCAGAGCCAAUAUUGAAGAAGAUGAAGGUGGUGCGGUGGUGCGUGUAUCACCGGUGAUCACGGGGGUGGGCUAUUACCGGAGGAAUGUUGCGCGUGGUUCAUGGCCUGGUGCGCGUGGUGCUGUGCGAGGAUAUACAUAUAUAAUAAACAUGUAAUUUAUAAGAUUUUAUAUUUUAUUAAUAAAUUAUUUUAUUUUUUA